UACGGAGGAUCCGAGCGUUAUCCGGAUUUAUUGGGUUUAAAGGGUGCGCAGGCGGGAGAUUAAGUCGGCGGUGAAAUUUUGCAGCUCAACUGUAAAAGUGCCUUCGAAACUGGUUUCCUUGAGUGUAGAUGAAGUAGGCGGAAUUUGUGGUGUAGCGGUGAAAUGCAUAGAUAUCACGAGGAACUCCGAUUGCGCAGGAAGCUUACUAAACUACUACUGACGCUCAGGCACGAAGGCGUGGGGAUCAAACAGGAUUAGAUACCCUGGUAGU
This 271-nucleotide ribosomal RNA is filed under the name uncultured prokaryote. RNAcentral describes it as "partial 16S ribosomal RNA". It matches the Rfam family "Bacterial small subunit ribosomal RNA", at positions 524 to 794 of the family's 1533-position model. The record is from RNAcentral.